UACAGAGGGGGCAAGCGUUGUUCGGAAUUACUGGGCGUAAAGGGCGCGUAGGCGGCCUGCUAAGUCGAACGUGAAAUCCCUGGGCUCAACCCAGGAACUGCGUCCGAUACUGGUUGGCUUGAAUCCGGGAGAGGGGUGUGGAAUUCCAGGUGUAGCGGUGAAAUGCGUAGAUAUCUGGAGGAACACCGGUGGCGAAGGCGACAUCCUGGACCGGUAUUGACGCUGAGGCGCGAAAGCCAGGGGAGCAAACGGG
This 253-nucleotide ribosomal RNA is filed under the name uncultured bacterium. RNAcentral's name for it is "partial 16S ribosomal RNA". It matches the Rfam family "Bacterial small subunit ribosomal RNA", at positions 524 to 776 of the family's 1533-position model. The record is from RNAcentral.